This 470-nucleotide ribosomal RNA is filed under the name Aricidea roberti. Its description in RNAcentral is "partial large subunit ribosomal RNA". It matches the Rfam family "Bacterial large subunit ribosomal RNA", at positions 1928 to 2605 of the family's 2925-position model. The record is from RNAcentral. Lineage: Eukaryota; Metazoa; Annelida; Polychaeta; Paraonidae.
CGGCCGCGGUACCCUGACCGUGCUAAGGUAGCAUAAUCCCUUGCCUCUUAAUUAGUGGCUAGUAUGAAUGGACAAACGAGAAUCUAUCUGUCUCUAUAAAUUUCCCUAAAAAUUACCCUUCAAGUGAAGAGUCUUGAAUCCCUAUAAAAGACAAGAAGACCCUGUAGAGCCUUAGCUUAUUACAAACACCAGUAAAUAAAAUAAAAUUAAUCUUUAUAACAGCUCUAGUUGGGGCGACUAAGGAGCACCAAAACCCUCCUCCAUCCUCCUACCGGCCCGUCCGCCUACUUUAAUGACCCGCCACUUAUGCCGCGACCAAAAAACUAGGCUACCUCAGGGAUAACAGUCUAAUCUUCCUCAAGAGCCCAUAUUGACAGGAAGGAUUGGCACCUCGAUGUUGGCUUAGGGGCCCUUCAAGGCGCAGCCACCUUGAAAGUAGGUUUGUUCAACCUUUAAUACCCUACGUGAUC